UACGUAGGUGGCAAGCGUUGUCCGGAUUUACUGGGCGUAAAGAGCGCGCAGGCGGUCGUUCAAGUCGCGUGUGAAAGCCCCCGGCUCAACUGGGGAGGGUCACGCGAUACUGAUCGACUCGAAGGCAGGAGAGGGUAGUGGAAUUCCCGGUGUAGUGGUGAAAUGCGUAGAUAUUCGGAGGAACACCGGUGGCGAAGGCGGCCACCUGGUCCGGCACUGACGCUGUAGCGCGAAAGCGUGGGGAGCAAACAGG
RNAcentral lists this ribosomal RNA (253 nucleotides) under uncultured bacterium. Its description in RNAcentral is "partial 16S ribosomal RNA". It matches the Rfam family "Bacterial small subunit ribosomal RNA", at positions 524 to 776 of the family's 1533-position model. The record is from RNAcentral.